RNAcentral lists this long non-coding RNA (421 nucleotides) under Heterocephalus glaber (naked mole-rat). RNAcentral describes it as "lncRNA (ENSHGLG00100045531.1)". The record is from RNAcentral. Lineage: Eukaryota; Metazoa; Chordata; Mammalia; Rodentia; Bathyergidae.
CACUGGUGAUAACUGCAGGGAUGUAUUUGAAAGCCACUGUACCCAUUUUUCUAGAUGAAAAUAUCUUCCCUUGAAUGGCCCAAGUGAAGGUAAAUGACUUCUAGUCUGCCCUCUCUGAAACCCAUGCCCCACUGCUCAUCAAAGAAGACUGAGGUCCUCAAAGAUGAGAAUGGCUGCCUAUUAAAGACCCUUCCAAUAGACUGCAGAAUCCCAAAGGCACAAAAAUAUUACAAGUGGGAUUACCAUAAACCAAACCUUCUGCACAGCCAGGGAAACAACCAGUGAAAAGAAAAAGCAACCAAUAGAAUGUGAGGAAAUACCUGCAAAUUAUGUAUCUGAUAAGGGACUGACAUACAAAACAUUUAAGACACUCACUCAAACCAAAAGGAAAAAGCAAACAAAAAACCACACACAAAUGGAA